AGUGGAGCCUGCGGCUUAAUUUGACUCAACACGGGAAACCUCACCAGGCCCGGACACCGGAAGGAUUGACAGAUUGAGAGCUCUUUCUUGAUUCGGUGGGUGGUGGUGCAUGGCCGUUCUUAGUUGGUGGAGCGAUUUGUCUGGUUAAUUCCGAUAACGAACGAGACUCUAGCCUGCUAACUAGGCGUAUUUCGACAUCCCAAAGGCCCGCCGAUUUGAGGCUCCGGCUUCUUAUCGCGCGCGGUUUUUACUGUCGGCGUACAAACAAUUCUUCUUAGAGGGACAGGCGGCAUUUAGCCGCACGAGAUUGAGCAAUAACAGGUCUGUGAUGCCCUUAGAUGUUCUGGGCCG
This 351-nucleotide ribosomal RNA is filed under the name Mesosa myops. RNAcentral describes it as "SSU rRNA". It matches the Rfam family "Eukaryotic small subunit ribosomal RNA", at positions 1175 to 1489 of the family's 1831-position model. Lineage: Eukaryota; Metazoa; Arthropoda; Insecta; Coleoptera; Cerambycidae. The record is from RNAcentral.